GGAGAGAUGGCCGAGCGGUUUAAGGCAGCAGUCUUGAAAACUGCCGUGGGCCUGCGCCCACCGUGGGUUCGAAUCCCACUCUCUCCGCCA
This 90-nucleotide transfer RNA is filed under the name Lysobacteraceae bacterium. RNAcentral describes it as "Xanthomonadaceae bacterium tRNA-Ser". It matches the Rfam family "tRNA". Rfam says of the family: Transfer RNA (tRNA) molecules are approximately 80 nucleotides in length. Their secondary structure includes four short double-helical elements and three loops (D, anti-codon, and T loops). Further hydrogen bonds mediate the characteristic L-shaped molecular structure. tRNAs have two regions of fundamental functional importance: the anti-codon, which is responsible for specific mRNA codon recognition, and the 3' end, to which the tRNAs corresponding amino acid is attached (by aminoacyl-tRNA synthetases). tRNAs cope with the degeneracy of the genetic code in two manners: having more than one tRNA (with a specific anti-codon) for a particular amino acid; and 'wobble' base-pairing, i.e. permitting non-standard base-pairing at the 3rd anti-codon position. The record is from RNAcentral. Lineage: Bacteria; Pseudomonadati; Pseudomonadota; Gammaproteobacteria; Lysobacterales; Lysobacteraceae.